This 253-nucleotide ribosomal RNA is filed under the name uncultured bacterium. Its description in RNAcentral is "partial 16S ribosomal RNA". It matches the Rfam family "Bacterial small subunit ribosomal RNA", at positions 524 to 776 of the family's 1533-position model. The record is from RNAcentral.
UACGUAGGUGGCAAGCGUUGUCCGGAAUUAUUGGGCGUAAAGCGCGCGCAGGCGGUUCCUUAAGUCUGAUGUGAAAGCCCACGGCUCAACCGUGGAGGGUCAUUGGAAACUGGGGAACUUGAGUGCAGAAGAGGAAAGUGGAAUUCCACGUGUAGCGGUGAAAUGCGUAGAGGUGUGGAGGAACACCAGUGGCGAAGGCGACUUUCUGGUCUGUAACUGACGCUGAGGCGCGAAAGCGUGGGGAGCAAACAGG